This 253-nucleotide ribosomal RNA is filed under the name uncultured bacterium. RNAcentral's name for it is "partial 16S ribosomal RNA". It matches the Rfam family "Bacterial small subunit ribosomal RNA", at positions 524 to 776 of the family's 1533-position model. The record is from RNAcentral.
UACAGAGGGUGCAAGCGUUACUCGGAAUUACUGGGCGUAAAGCGUGCGUAGUCGGUUAUCUAAGUCGGGUGUGAAAUCCCCGGGCUCAACCUGGGAAUUGCAUUCGAUACUGGAUAGCUAGAGUUCGGCAGAGGGAAGCGGAAUUUCGGGUGUAGCGGUGAAAUGCGUAGAUAUCCGAAGGAACAUCAGUGGCGAAAGCGGCUUCCUGGACCAGAACUGACGAUCAGGCACGAAAGCGUGGGGAGCAAACAGG